Long non-coding RNA from Harpegnathos saltator (Jerdon's jumping ant), 784 nucleotides. RefSeq lists it as uncharacterized. The record is from RefSeq and is a predicted model, not a curated record. Lineage: Eukaryota; Metazoa; Arthropoda; Insecta; Hymenoptera; Formicidae. The transcript has 6 exons.
GACGAUUUUCGCUGUUGGCGGACGCGAGAGAAUCGGUACAAUUCGGAGGCGGUUCUCGAUGCAAGUACGUGAUCGGCCAGUGUCUACCGGGAUCGUGGGGAUCGAGCCGAUCGUGGGGACGAUCACCGUCGCUGCUUGGGAUAUGUACGGAGGGUCGGGGGCUUGGAAGGAGAAAAAAAUAUGGAAAAUCGCGAGGAAAUCGCGGGGGGCCGAUAGAAAAAAAGCGGGCGGCUACUUGUAGAUCAGGAAUGCGAUAAGCUUUGGCAGCGAAGGCGUGAGUGCGAGCAAAGGGGGGAAAUCGUGGAAAGCCAAGGAUGGAGCAGGCAGUGUAACUGAUGGAUCAGGAGUGUCAAAAAAGUCCGAGAGCCUGCAGGACGCAUUGUGACGAUAAAGACAAUAGAGCAGGUGGCAAUUAAUUAAUUAGGAUUAAUUAGGAACGCGAGAAAUGUUGACAGUGGAGAAAAGAUUGCAAUAGAAAAGGCAGAUUGCAGCUGUUAGAAAUUUGUAAAAAAGCUGCAUAAAAUCAAGGAUAAAGGAAUGGUCUGCAAUUAGUGCAUAGAAAAAGAGUGUGAUGCUUUGUAAAAAGAGGCACAGCAGACGACAUCUGAUGCUUUAAAAAUGGAGUAAGAAUUCGGUGAGCUGUUAUUAAAUUUUUAUAAAGGGCGAUCAGUGAUGCAACUUAUUUUUGCGUGCUCAGUGCAAGGAAAGUUCGUUUUUCUUACUGACAUUUUAUACAAAAAUGUUUCCUCCCAUCUAGAAUAUACUUGCGACGAUUUAAGAGAUA